UUUGAACAUAUUUUUGAAAAAAAUAAAGACCUGUUAAGUGAUUGUAAAUCUAGUUUACCGCCCAAACAUGUUUUUUACACAAACAAAAAAAAACCUUUAUUUCUUGUUUCCUUUUGUAUAAUGAAAGCAGGAUAGAGCUUGUAGGAACCCCCACCCAUAGACAUAAUGUUGAAAAGUUAAUCAAAAGAAUCAGUACAAAAAUUGUAUACCGACUACAAAAAACUACCCUGUUCAAACAAUUAAGUAAAACUUAAAAACCAAAAACCGGGUAAAACGAUCCAGACACCAAAUACUUCAACCACCGCACCAGCUUUUAUACUAAGCUAUAAGAUAUUAACCGUAAAGUGUAUUUAUAUAAACAUAAUAGUUUGAAACUUCCAUCUGCUUUGAGCCAAUAAUUUAAAUGCAUAAUAAUAAUACUUCCGAAAGUUUCACAAAAACCUUUCCCUUUAAUGUAUAGGGUACACCCUGCUAAAGAAAAGACGUAGCAUAAUUAAUAGCCGCUUCAUUGGCGGACCGUUUGAAUGGGCACACGCGAAGUUUCUUUAAGUUUCUACAUAAAUUGCCCUCAAAUAUCAAUAAAUAUCGUAUGUGAAAAUACAUAUAAUUUCAAGAAAGGCGAUAAGACCCUAAAAGCUCUAUUUAUAGUAGUUGGGGCAACAAGAAAAUUAACUCUUCAUCUACCUACCACUUAUCACAGUUACUUUAGGGAUAACAGCGUAAUAUCUAAUACCAAGACCAUAUUAAUAUUAGAGAGUACGACCUCGAUGUUGAACUAAAGGGAAGCUAGUGUAUAUUCUAGUCUUUAUCGUCUGUUCGCCGAUACACCUUUACGUGAUUUGAGUUCAAACCGGCGCGAGCCAGGUUGGUUUCAACCUUCUUACUUAUUUGUGACUAUUUAGUACGAAAGGAAAUUUUGUCAGUUACCUACUAAAGUUAAUUUAAUAUUUUCUUGUCGAGAAAAAGAACUUCUAAUUCUGCAAAUAAAGUUUACUAAAUAUUUUUCUUGUAUAAAAAAGUUA
This 1022-nucleotide ribosomal RNA is filed under the name Parasagitta elegans. RNAcentral describes it as "16S ribosomal RNA". Lineage: Eukaryota; Metazoa; Chaetognatha; Sagittoidea; Aphragmophora; Sagittidae. The record is from RNAcentral.